Molecule: non-coding RNA, 597 nt
Organism: Oryctolagus cuniculus (rabbit)
Lineage: Eukaryota; Metazoa; Chordata; Mammalia; Lagomorpha; Leporidae
Source: RefSeq, a predicted model, not a curated record
CUCAACGAGGGUGCUUAGACAAUCUUUGCACCCAGAGGUUACAGUAAGUCUCAAUGCCUAGUAAAUCAUUUGUGGUACCUCCAAAUUUCAUGGAAGAUCUAUUUCAGAAACCUGAGAAAAUGUUGUCGCUGUCAGUUGUAACCAUAUAACAAUGGAACAUCUUUGGGCACUUUUCUGCAGAAGUUUUACAAAAGGAAGUUGUUUCCAACUUGGAAUGUUUCACCAAAUAGUUUUUCUCAUCCCUUCUGUUAGCUGGCUAAAUGAGGGCUCACUCUUUUGCAAUCUCUCAUGGAACCUCUGCAUGGAAAUGCUCCCUAAUUAAAAGAUCAGAAAGAACAGAACAACAGCACUGAAUGAUAUCACUGUUAAGCUCUCUGCUAUGGCCUUGGAUAGCAGUGGAAGAUGGCCCAAGCCCUUGGGCCCCUGCACCUGCGUGAGAGACCUGGAAGAAGCCCUGGCUCCUGGCUUCAGAUCAGCACAGCUCCAGCCGCUGUGGCCACCUGGGGAGUGAACCAGGGGAUGGAAGACCUGUCUCUCUAUCUCCACCUCCCUCUGUAACUCUUUCAAAAAAAUAAAUAAAAUAAAUCUUUAAAAAAA